Non-coding RNA from Populus trichocarpa (black cottonwood), 156 nucleotides. Lineage: Eukaryota; Viridiplantae; Streptophyta; Magnoliopsida; Malpighiales; Salicaceae. The record is from Rfam.
UCUAGAACUUAAGAUAUGGGUUGAACAGUGAACAAUGUCUGGGUUGUAGGACAAAUUCCGACUUCUCCGUUGUUGCUACCAUUUGAACUCUAAAAUGACACUUUUAAAUCUUGGACUUUUCAUGAAAGUUUUAGGCCUAUGUUUUAGCAUUCUAUA